RNAcentral lists this small nuclear RNA (250 nucleotides) under Jaculus jaculus (lesser Egyptian jerboa). Its description in RNAcentral is "7SK RNA (ENSJJAG00000006626.1)". It matches the Rfam family "7SK RNA". From Rfam's summary of the family: 7SK was discovered as an abundant small nuclear RNA in the mid-70s but a possible function has only recently been suggested. Two independent studies have found that 7SK RNA binds the CDK9/cyclin T complex (known as elongation factor P-TEFb). The record is from RNAcentral. Lineage: Eukaryota; Metazoa; Chordata; Mammalia; Rodentia; Dipodidae.
GGAUGUGAGGGCGAGCUGGCUGCGACCUCUGUUACCCCAUUGAUCCCAGGGUUGAUCCGGCUGAUCCGACUGGCUAGGCAGGUCCCUCCUGAAGCUGCCUGCUGGGUCUUGAACGGAGGACGACCGGUCUUCGGCCACAGGCAUACGAGUAACCACGAUCCCCUGGUAGAACCUCCAAACAAAGUCAAAGGACGCCUUUGGGUUUUAUUUUUAAUAUUUUUUUAUUUAUUUAUUUGAGGAAGAGAGACAA